AUGACGGCCACGGCCGGCAAGAGUGACCCGGUGGUCGGCCGUGACGACGAGAUCGACCGCGUCGUCCGCAUCCUGUGCCGCCGGACCAAGAACUGCGCCGCGCUCGUCGGCGCCCCAGGGGUCGGCAAGACCGCCAUCGCCGAGGGCCUUGCGCAGCGUGUCGCCGCUGGCAAAGUCCCCGCGCCGCUCCUUGGGGCACGCGUCGUGGAACUGGAGGUAGCGGGCAUGGUGUCCGGGACGGUCUGGCGUAUGUUCGAGGAGCGCAUGAAGGACGUGAUACAGCAGAUGGAGGAUUCCGGCGGCAAGGUAAUUCUGUUCAUCGACGAGAUGCACAUGCUUAUUGGAGCCGGCGAUUGGCAGGGUCGCCAUGACGCGGCUAACAUGCUGAAGUCGGCAUUGGCCCGUGGCCGCAUCCGGUGCGUCGGCGCCACCACGUUAGACGAGUACAGCAAGCACGUUGAGAAGGAUCCGGCGCUCGAGCGGCGGUUCCAAAAGGUGCACGUCGAUGAGCCAAGUGAGCAGGCGACGAUUGGCAUGCUCCGGGGUCUAAAGAAGCGUUUCGAAGAGCAUCAUGGCAUCAAAAUUCAGGAUGCUGCAAUUGUUGCUGCAGCGCAGCUCGCUGGCCGCUAUGUCACCGGCCGACAAUUUCCUGAUAAGGCCAUUGAUCUGAUUGAUGAGGCUUGCACAAGCACAAAAGGAGGACAAGCAUUUGUUAGCCCUGAACCAUUAGGAAACAGAGACCCCUUCUCCGGACCUCGUGCGGCCGCCGCCGGGCCGCACCGGGCGGCCACAGUUGUGAGUAGGUGGACUGGAAUUCCUGUCACGUCACUUAGUGCAGAGGAGACAGAAAAACUAAUCCAUCUUGCAGACAGAUUGCACGAACGAGUUGUUGGUCAGAAUGAAGCUGUCAAUUUAGUUGUGCAAGCGGUGUUACGUUCGAGGGCUGGUCUUGAUCCCCCUGGUCAACCAAUAGGUUCAUUCCUUUUCUUGGGCUCAACUGGUGAUGGAAAGACAGAGCUUGCAAAAGCUCUCCCCGAGCAGUUGUUUGACAAUGAGAAGAUGUUGCUUCGAUUUGAUAUGUCUGAAUAUGUUCACUCUGGAUCUGUUACAUGUCUCAUUGGAGCACCGCCAAAUUACCUAGGUCACCAAGAUGGUGGACAAUUGACCGAGAAGGUCCGGAGCCGUCCAUACAGUGUCAUCCUAUUUGAUGAGGUCGAGAAGGCCGAUCCCUCGGUAUUAAAUGUAUUUCUUCAGCUACUUGAUGAUGGUGUCUUGACUGAUGGCAAAGGUCGUAAGGUAGAUUUCAAGAAUACAGUCAUCAUUAUGACCUCAAAUCUAGGUGCAGAGCACCUAAUUACAGGAAUUCGUGGUGAAAACACAAUGAAAGGUGCACGAGACCUUCUCAUGAAAAAGGUGCAUGAAUAUUUCAAGCCGGAGCUUCUCAAUAGAUUAAGCCAGAUUGUUAUAUUUGACCCACUUUCGCACGAGCAACUAAUGGAGGUUGUGAAAAUGCAAAUGAAAAGUGCCACCACCAGAGUAGCAAAAAAGGGAAUAUCUUUAUCCGUGAGUGAUGCUGCAUUGCACGUCAUUUUGUCGGAGUCAUACAACCCAAUGUAUGGUGCAAGGCCCACAAGAAGCUGGGUGCAGAAUAAUGUGAUGACAGUAAUCUCUGAGAUACUGGUAAAAAGACAGCUAGCAGGCUCGAGAAUCCUCAUAGAUGCUGCGGACAACAAGAAGGGGCUGAAGUAUGAUGUGGUGAAGGAGGAGGUAGUGGAUGCACAUGUUGAGGCACCAGUCGUAGAUGACUCCCAGGACAAAGGCGAUGAUUUGGUUCUCGAAAAUCCUACAGUGACAACGUCGCACGCUCCAGGACUUUACAGAAUAUUGUAUUCUCGUUUCGGUUCUAUUCUGAACUAG
This 1917-nucleotide ribosomal RNA is filed under the name Triticum aestivum (bread wheat). Its description in RNAcentral is "partial small subunit ribosomal RNA". The record is from RNAcentral. Lineage: Eukaryota; Viridiplantae; Streptophyta; Magnoliopsida; Poales; Poaceae.